UACGAAGGGGGCUAGCGUUGUUCGGAAUUACUGGGCGUAAAGCGCGCGUAGGCGGAUUUGUUAGUCAGGGGUGAAAUCCCGGGGCUCAACCUCGGGACUGCCUUUGAUACUGCAAGUCUCGAGUGUGGAAGAGGUGAGUGGAAUUCCUAGUGUAGAGGUGAAAUUCGUAGAUAUUAGGAAGAACACCAGCGGCGAAGGCGGUUCACUGGUCCGGUACUGACGCUGAGUGGCGAAAGCGUGGGGAGCAAACCGG
This 253-nucleotide ribosomal RNA is filed under the name uncultured bacterium. RNAcentral's name for it is "partial 16S ribosomal RNA". It matches the Rfam family "Bacterial small subunit ribosomal RNA", at positions 524 to 776 of the family's 1533-position model. The record is from RNAcentral.